CUAAGGCGAGGCCGAGAGGCGUAGCCGAUGGACAACAGGUUGAGAUUCCUGUACUACAGUAUGACAGAACUGUGGGGACGCAGAAGGAGAGCACUACCUGGAAUGGAAUCCAGGGGCAAGCACAGGAGGGGUACGGCUGGAAAAACCGCCGUGCAACCCAAAGGUGUGACGCAUACCGAACUAAAGUAGGGAAAUGUGUGAGCCGGCUGCCGAGAAAAGCCGCUAUUGUUUGUACUGUACCCGUACCGUAAACCGACACAGGUGGAUGAGGAGAGAAUCCUAAGGCCGACGGAAGAAGCAUUGCUAAGGAACUCGGCAAAAUGACCCUGUAACUUCGGGAGAAAGGGUGCCUCGAAAGAGGCCGCAGAGAAUAGGCCCAAGCAACUGUUUAGCAAAAACACAGGUCUAUGCAAAACCGCAAGGUGAAGUAUAUGGGCUGACGCCUGCCCGGUGCUGGAAGGUUAAGGGGAGAUGUCAGGAGACGAAGCAUCGAACUUAAGCCCCAGUAAACGGCGGCCGUAACAAUAACGGUCCUAAGGUAGCGAAAUUCCUUGUCGGGUAAGUUCCGACCCGCACGAAAGGCGUAAUGAUUUGGGCGCUGUCUCGGCAAUGCAUCCGGUGAAAUUGAAGUGCCAGUGAAGAUGCUGGCUACCCGCGCCAGGACGGAAAGACCCCAUGGAGCUUUACUCCAGCUUGAUACUGGGAUUCGGUAUUGUAUGUACAGGAUAGGUGGGAGGCUGAGAAAUGGUGACGCCAGUCGCCAUGGAGCCGCUGUUGGGAUACCACCCUUGCAGUACUGGAUUUCUAACCAGCAGCCGUGAUCCGGCUGGGGGACAAUGUCAGGUGGGGAGUUUGACUGGGGCGGUCGCCUCCGAAAGGGUAUCGGAGGCGCUCAAAGGUUCCCUCAGAAUGGUCGGAAACCAUUCGAAGAGUGCAAAGGCAGAAGGGAGCUUGACUGCGACACCGACGGGUGGGGCAGGUACGAAAGUAGGACUUAGUGAUCCGGUGGUAUUAAGUGGGAAUGCCAUCGCUCAACGGAUAAAAGCUACCCUGGGGAUAACAGGCUUAUCACUCCCAAGAGUUCACAUCGACGGAGUGGUUUGGCACCUCGAUGUCGGCUCAUCGCAUCCUGGGGCUGUAGUAGGUCCCAAGGGUUGGGCUGUUCGCCCAUUAAAGCGGUACGCGAGCUGGGUUCAGAACGUCGUGAGACAGUUCGGUCCCUAUCCGGCGUGGGCGUAGGAUAUUUGAGAGGAGCUGACCUUAGUACGAGAGGACCGGGUUGGACUGACCUCUGGUGCACCGGUUGUCAUGCCAAUGGCACAGCCGGGUAGCCAAGUCGGGAAGGGAUAAACGCUGAAGGCAUCUAAGCGUGAAGCCCCCCUCAAGAUGAGAUAUCCCCCGCAUAAGCGGUAAGACCCCUUGAAGACGACGAGGUAGAUAGGGCAGAGGUGGAAGUGCAGUAAUGUAUGGAGCUGACUGCUACUAAUAGGUCGAAGGCUUAAU
This 1503-nucleotide ribosomal RNA is filed under the name metagenome. RNAcentral describes it as "bacterial LSU rRNA". It matches the Rfam family "Bacterial large subunit ribosomal RNA", at positions 1391 to 2925 of the family's 2925-position model. The record is from RNAcentral.